AUGCUCUGGUUUCUCUUCAGAUCAUAUAAAUCUUUCACCUUUUACUAAAGAUUUCCAUGGAGAAGAACGUUCAGAGUUUGAAUUAACUUUUUGUUGCACUGCUUUUGUGAUAGGGC
Molecule: small nuclear RNA, 116 nt
Organism: Carcharodon carcharias (great white shark)
Lineage: Eukaryota; Metazoa; Chordata; Chondrichthyes; Lamniformes; Lamnidae
Product: U5 spliceosomal RNA
Exons: 1
Source: RefSeq, a predicted model, not a curated record